GUUACACAUACACACACACAAACACACAAAAGCACAUUUGAUACGAACUUAAUAAGAUUUAACAGCUACAUUUUGUGCUGUUUUUAUUAUUUGAAUCGAGUUUUUGUUAAAGACUAAAGUGAAUUCAAAACGAGUCUUAUAGACAGUUUUCUCAUUAUAUUCGAGUCUCUUUUUGGCGGUACAGUCAGAAAUCAAUCGCUUUUAAUUUCAGUUUCGUUAGAUAUAAAAAGUGCAAGCUGCGAUUAACUAAGGUGGUGGCCAUCGGAAGGGUAAAAACUAAACUUAAGCUUAAGUUUUAGAAAUCGGAUUAGGCGGGAUCAAAAAUGCUUGCCAGCCGAUUUCCGAAACAAAAUUUAAAAUUUAAAUUCUGUACAGAGCUAUACGAGUUUUAAGCGAUCAAUCAGAAAACAUUAAAAUUAUUGAAAAGAACUAAAAGCGAUCGUCUGAAAAACGUAUGUGUUCGGAUCGGGUGUCUAUAUGUUAUCCGCGCCGUAACACGAAAUAGAUCAAUAUAAAAAAAAAGAAAAAAACUUUAAAUUAUUGUUGGGUAACGUUAUACAAGCCGAAGUGAAUUAAACAAAAAAAAAAAAAAAAAAACAAAUUGAACUACAUAUUAAAGGCACGUAAAAUGUUGCAACAAAAACAAACGAUAAAUGGUAAAUAAAUAAAAAGAGUUAACGUUUUACGAGCCGAGAAAAUAAACAAAUAAUAAACAGUAAAAAAAUUGUAACGUUAUACGAGCCUUAACAAAAUCUUUAAAAAUAUAUUGUUUGAAUCGAAAUAUAUAAUUGUGUUUUUAUUUCUAACUUGAGUAACGUAGGUGCGAAAGAGAUAUCGGCAUCAGCUAGUAUUCUUACUCUUUCAAAUUAAUGCUUUUGAGUGAGAUCGAUAUGUUGCUAUCUCUUUUCGUUCCAUGGAAACCAAUGAAAAUGGCUGAUAAUCUACAUUACAUGCAGCUAGCAACUGUACUUUGAACAUCCGAGAACAAGCGUGAUUACGUUUGCAUUCGUAAAAUACAUUUUUACCAUUUGUUUUCAUGUUCCUUUGUCGUGAGCUUAAGAGGCCGCCAUUUUGAAAUCGUCCAUUUUGAAAUUGACGUUACGCUGACUGCAUGUUCGCAUGUGACGAGCCGUGAAGUUAGCUGCAACAGUUCAGCUGGCAUAAACUUGGCUGACUUACACGUGUUGUGCGUACUAGCUAUGCUUGGUUUCCGAACUUAGCAGAGACACAACCCAAAGAGGUAUUGAUAUGUGGGCGCAGAAUCAGCGAUGUUGUGGCGGCAAAACGAUUCAGGUGCAUUAUCGAUUAAUGAUAGGCUACUAUCGAUGUCUCGUGUCGUGUAGAGCUGCCAGAUGUUGCUUCUGCGUGGAAAUCGCGUCGCGUCGCAAUAUUGUUGCAAUUAACAUUAAAAGUAAUUAAAAGUAUGAAAAAAUCUAUCUAAAGUAAUGCAGAUGAGUUUCACAUCGAACGGGCUUUGGAGCAGCGAGUAAAGGCCAACUGAAAAUUGAGCUGCUGCAGCUGUUGUUGAAAAAUACGCAGUAACUGGCUGAAAACAAGAGGAAGAAAGCAACGCGCGUAAUUUGAAACGAGCAAAAAAAUAACAACAACAAUUACAAAGUAAGCAGCAGCAGCAGCAUCAGCUUGGCAAUCAGAGCAGGCGAGGCGGGCAGCCAGACAGCCAAAGGACGAAGCAGGCAAUCAAUCAAAGACAACAGUCCUUAACAGCAAAGCAAAGGUAAAGGCAAAAGCAAAAGCAAAAGUAAACGCAAAGGCAAA
Long non-coding RNA from Drosophila hydei, 1776 nucleotides. RefSeq lists it as uncharacterized. NCBI's taxonomy places the organism in Eukaryota, Metazoa, Arthropoda, Insecta, Diptera, Drosophilidae. The transcript is spliced from 4 exons. The record is from RefSeq and is a predicted model, not a curated record.